GAUGAACGCUGGCGGCGUGCCUAAUACAUGCAAGUCGAGCGAACGGACGAGAAGCUUGCUUCUCUGAUGUUAGCGGCGGACGGGUGAGUAACACGUGGAUAACCUGCCUAUAAGACUGGGAUAACUUCGGGAAACCGGAGCUAAUACCGGAUAAUAUUUUGAACCGCAUGGUUCAAAAGUAAAAGACGGUCUUGCUGUCACUUAUAGAUGGAUCCGCGCUGCAUUAGCUAGUUGGUAAGGUAACGGCUUACCAAGGCAACGAUGCAUAGCCGACCUGAGAGGGUGAUCGGCCACACUGGAACUGAGACACGGUCCAGACUCCUACGGGAGGCAGCAGUAGGGAAUCUUCCGCAAUGGGCGAAAGCCUGACGGAGCAACGCCGCGUGAGUGAUGAAGGUCUUCGGAUCGUAAAACUCUGUUAUUAGGGAAGAACAUAUGUGUAAGUAACUGUGCACAUCUUGACGGUACCUAAUCAGAAAGCCACGGCUAACUACGUGCCAGCAGCCGCGGUAAUACGUAGGUGGCAAGCGUUAUCCGGAAUUAUUGGGCGUAAAGCGCGCGUAGGCGGUUUUUUAAGUCUGAUGUGAAAGCCCACGGCUCAACCGUGGAGGGUCAUUGGAAACUGGAAAACUUGAGUGCAGAAGAGGAAAGUGGAAUUCCAUGUGUAGCGGUGAAAUGCGCAGAGAUAUGGAGGAACACCAGUGGCGAAGGCGACUUUCUGGUCUGUAACUGACGCUGAUGUGCGAAAGCGUGGGGAUCAAACAGGAUUAGAUACCCUGGUAGUCCACGCCGUAAACGAUGAGUGCUAAGUGUUAGGGGGUUUCCGCCCCUUAGUGCUGCAGCUAACGCAUUAAGCACUCCGCCUGGGGAGUACGACCGCAAGGUUGAAACUCAAAGGAAUUGACGGGGACCCGCACAAGCGGUGGAGCAUGUGGUUUAAUUCGAAGCAACGCGAAGAACCUUACCAAAUCUUGACAUCCUUUGACAACUCUAGAGAUAGAGCCUUCCUCUUCGGGGGACAAAGUGACAGGUGGUGCAUGGUUGUCGUCAGCUCGUGUCGUGAGAUGUUGGGUUAAGUCCCGCAACGAGCGCAACCCUUAAGCUUAGCUGCCAUCAUUAAGUUGGGCACUCUAAGUUGACUGCCGGUGACAAACCGGAGGAAGGUGGGGAUGACGUCAAAUCAUCAUGCCCCUUAUGAUUUGGGCUACACACGUGCUACAAUGGACAAUACAAAGGGCAGCGAAACCGCGAGGUCAAGCAAAUCCCAUAAAGUUGUUCUCAGUUCGGAUUGUAGUCUGCAACUCGACUACAUGAAGCUGGAAUCGCUAGUAAUCGUAGAUCAGCAUGCUACGGUGAAUACGUUCCCGGGUCU
Molecule: ribosomal RNA, 1372 nt
Filed under: uncultured bacterium
Lineage: Bacteria
Description: bacterial SSU rRNA
Rfam family: Bacterial small subunit ribosomal RNA
Source: RNAcentral